This 253-nucleotide ribosomal RNA is filed under the name uncultured bacterium. Its description in RNAcentral is "partial 16S ribosomal RNA". It matches the Rfam family "Bacterial small subunit ribosomal RNA", at positions 524 to 776 of the family's 1533-position model. The record is from RNAcentral.
UACGUAGGGUGCGAGCGUUGUCCGGAAUUAUUGGGCGUAAAAGGCUCGUAGGCGGUUUGUCGCGUCGGGAGUGAAAACCUUGGGCUUAACUCAGGGCUUGCUUUCGAUACGGGCAGACUAGAGGUAUGCAGGGGAGACUGGAAUUCCUGGUGUAGCGGUGAAAUGCGCAGAUAUCAGGAGGAACACCGGUGGCGAAGGCGGUUCUCUGGGCCUGUACUGACGCUGAGGAACGAAAGCGUGGGGAGCGAACAGG